UGCACGCUAGGUGGAGCCGCGAAAGGUCACGUGGGAAAAGCGACGUAUCCACAGCUUCGUGGACGACAUCGUCAUCAUCAAACCGUCGCUGAUUUGAGACUCACAUUAGGCUUCCUAUUGCUUUUUGCUACUGUAUUUUCCCAAACGUCCGCUAUAACACAAAGUAAAAUUAAUAGCUAAAAACAGAGAUGUUGAUGUUGGCAGCAUCAUCAGAAGCAGCGACAUCUGAGGCCCGCGCACUGAGCGGCGUGACGCAGCAGUUGUUCCAUUUGGUUGUUCUAGGAGCUGAGCUUUUGACCCAUGGCACACAGAGCGUACGACAGCCCUACGCCAGAAGACAGUAUCGAAGUGAUACGUGCUAGGACACAUGCGGUCUCCAUUACCACUGUUAUCGGCUAUUACGCUCUCAUAUUGGGAAUAUUCCUGCUCUACUCCGUCGGUUUCAUCGCUUACAAGAUUGACGAAGAUAUCGCUGAAGUUGAAAAAUUCUACUACACCAUGACGGCAACCGGAGGACAUGGCACGGGGCACGGGGAACCACAUCACGUUAGACCAGUCGCUAAAAGGGAUCAAAACAGCAAUGAGACAGAGCAUGAAGACAACACUACAGACAUGUCGUCCCUGUCUACAGAAAUGGACGUUUCCAGGACCAAGUCUCUAGCAGCAAGGACCAAGGCUCCGACAAAUGCAACACACCGCUUCAGCACUAUGGAGAACACGCGGUGCACCCAUGAACCUCUGCAGACAUUUCCAGAUUUGUUUGACGGGUGACACGAUACGGUACUUCGGUAACGAUACGAUUUAGUUGCAACAGAUUGGCUUGCUAUAGACCA
Molecule: long non-coding RNA, 833 nt
Organism: Ornithodoros turicata
Lineage: Eukaryota; Metazoa; Arthropoda; Arachnida; Ixodida; Argasidae
Exons: 2
Source: RefSeq, a predicted model, not a curated record